GGGGGGACGGAGAAGGCUAUGUUGGCCGGGCGACGGUUGUCCCGGUUUAAGCGUGUAGGCUGGUUUUCCAGGCAAAUCCGGAAAAUCAAGGCUGAGGCGUGAUGACGAGGCACUACGGUGCUGAAGCAACAAAUGCCCUGCUUCCAGGAAAAGCCUCUAAGCAUCAGGUAACAUCAAAUCGUACCCCAAACCGACACAGGUGGUCAGGUAGAGAAUACCAAGGCGCUUGAGAGAACUCGGGUGAAGGAACUAGGC
RNAcentral lists this ribosomal RNA (255 nucleotides) under Escherichia fergusonii. RNAcentral's name for it is "partial 23S ribosomal RNA". It matches the Rfam family "Bacterial large subunit ribosomal RNA", at positions 1466 to 1718 of the family's 2925-position model. The record is from RNAcentral. Lineage: Bacteria; Pseudomonadati; Pseudomonadota; Gammaproteobacteria; Enterobacterales; Enterobacteriaceae.